UAUACACAAAUAUAACAGUCAUACAAUGCUAGCAGUAUAAGCAAAACAUCUCCGUGUGACGGAUGUGAAAAACACUUGGACCGAUUCCCAGUGUUUUGAUAGAUCAAAACUAUAUUCGUAUGAGCCAAGUGAAUUUCGUAAGAAAAGUGCAGCGAAGACAGCAGACAAACACACACGUAAAUUAGGGAAUCGGGACGAGUGCAAAUAUCGAGCGUAUGACAUAGAGCUCAAAUUAAUCCUAAUCAAUAAAAUUCAUCGGUGGUUCUUCGAUUGAUUUGAGAUUGGUUUUUGUAGCAAUGCUAUCAUACCAGAUAAAGUAGCACGUCUUAUUUAUUAGACGUGAUUUAAUCUUACACUAUUUGCGUACAUGACACAAAACCAUACCUUUCCUCUGAUACGCUACAAAAUGCUAGAAGAUGCAGAUCACAAGGAAGACGAACAAGUACAGAACCAGAAGGAGAUGCAAAAUUUGUUACAAGGGAAUCACUUCAAUGGCACUAUCCAAUACUCCGAUAACUUUUUGGCUAACAACUAUAACAAGAUGCAAAUGCAGCUGAACAGCCGCUUCAUCUCACAGAUUUGUUGCCCACGACGAGCCCGUGGAUCAUUACCGCAUGUCCGAAUGCGUCCAUACUAUAUACCUCAACGGUCCAGAACAAAAAGCGAAAACUCAGAUCCGUCAAGUUUACUAUAUUUGGAAACGAUAAGAGCUGUCGAAAUUGCUCAAAGCAACCCACCACCAUCAACUCUGAUGGAAACUAGUGACCCUUCUACCUCACACAUGGACACAUCCGGAAAUGCACCAGUUGUUAGAACCGGAAAGUGCUCCCCACUAGUGAAAUCUAAAUCUCUCGAGAAUCUGGUACGAUCGAUUAAAACGAUAGACGGAUCACAACCGUCACACGAGAUGGAAUUCAUGUCUAGUCGCAUACAAAAUUUAAAAGUGCAAGAAUAGUUCAUCAUUUAGCAGUACUGCAUACUAUCGAUAUGUAAUCAGAAGAUAAGUGUCUACAAAAGAACACCAGUCGUACGGCGAUUACCUAAAAAAAAUAUUUUAUUAUUUUACACUACGAUUAGCAAUAGGUUGCAGGCAAACAGUUGUAGCACUUUGAAAUAAUUUCGCAAAUUGCAUAACACACUAUAAAUGCUAAUCUUUACAUAAAUAUGCCAUAUAAACGUCAUUUUAUGAAUCGAUGAAUCGCGUAUUGCAAUACUCAUAUUGUAUAUUGCAGCACCUUGAAAAGUUUAGCAUGACCUAAAGUUAAUAUUUUUCAAAUUUUUGGGUGUCAAAUCAACGUUUUUAUUAGUACGUCUUAAAAAAAUGCAUGUUUGAGCAAUUAUAAUUUUUUAUUUUAGUAAGAAAAACUUUUUUUUCACUACACUUUAAGCGAUGCUUAACAUUAAAGUGCAGCAAUACUCAUUGAGUAUGGCAACGAUCCCAUACUUUCGGUGGUACAUUAAUUGAACAAUGAUAAAUUUUUACCUGUUUUUUUGUAUUAAUCGUAACGCUUACGCAGAAUACUUAUUUCCGCUGUAAAGCUACAUAAUUUGUGAAACAUACAUGCUCAGCGUAAAAAAAUUAAUACAUCGUUUGAUUUUUUGCGCCGAACUUUAACGUUUACAUUACAUUGUAUUUGUUGAAUUAUUGUUUUCAUAAUGUAUAUCAUUAUUAAUUUAAAAUAUAGACAUUGAAAAAUAAGUCGAAUGCUACGACUGAUUGUCUGUGGCUUAGAUUUUCCCACGUGGAGCCAGAUGUUGAUUGUUCAAAUAAAAAAUUCAAACGUGGGCUAGAAUAAUGGCGUAACUCGAAUGAUCGAUUUCUCUUCAUCGAAUAAAAGUGACAAGAUGUGGAUUUAUUAGCAUUAUUUCACUUCAGACCGCUUGGCAGCGAUGCAGUCUCGUGUCUUGAGUUGAAAAAAUGCUGCGUCUUGUCACUUUUAUUCAUAUAAGAGAGGAUCGACGUAGAGAAAUCGAUCAUGCGACUUACGCCCUUAUUCUAGCACACGUUAAAUGAGGAAAGGACUUAACAACAUACUCCUGCAUGAUUGUGUAGAUAUGGAAAGUAUCAUCAUUCGUGUAGUUUGCAAGUUACUUAGAGGAUCUGGCCCUUGAUAAAUCUAGUUUAUAGAAGGUCAAAAUGCAAUGUUAUUUUAACUUAUUCUAAAUAAAUGUUCAUCAUAUACGAA
This 2186-nucleotide long non-coding RNA is filed under the name Aedes aegypti (yellow fever mosquito). RNAcentral's name for it is "lncRNA AAEL021941". Lineage: Eukaryota; Metazoa; Arthropoda; Insecta; Diptera; Culicidae. The record is from RNAcentral.